CCUACGGGUGGCUGCAGUGGGGAAUAUUGCACAAUGGGCGCAAGCCUGAUGCAGCCAUGCCGCGUGUGUGAAGAAGGCCUUCGGGUUGUAAAGCACUUUCAGCGGGGAGGAAGGCGUUAAGGUUAAUAACCUUGGCGAUUGACGUUACCCGCAGAAGAAGCACCGGCUAACUCCGUGCCAGCAGCCGCGGUAAUACGGAGGGUGCAAGCGUUAAUCGGAAUUACUGGGCGUAAAGCGCACGCAGGCGGUCUGUCAAGUCGGAUGUGAAAUCCCCGGGCUCAACCUGGGAACUGCAUUCGAAACUGGCAGGCUAGAGUCUUGUAGAGGGGGGUAGAAUUCCAGGUGUAGCGGUGAAACGCGUAGAGAUCUGGAGGAAUACCGGUGGCGAAGGCGGCCCCCUGGACAAAGACUGGCGCUCAGGUGCGAAAGCGUGGGGAGCAAACAGGAUUAGAUACCCGGGUAGUC
Molecule: ribosomal RNA, 465 nt
Filed under: uncultured Klebsiella sp.
Lineage: Bacteria; Pseudomonadati; Pseudomonadota; Gammaproteobacteria; Enterobacterales; Enterobacteriaceae
Description: bacterial SSU rRNA
Rfam family: Bacterial small subunit ribosomal RNA
Source: RNAcentral